This 588-nucleotide long non-coding RNA is filed under the name Homo sapiens (human). Its description in RNAcentral is "non-protein coding lnc-GATAD1-6:1". The record is from RNAcentral. Lineage: Eukaryota; Metazoa; Chordata; Mammalia; Primates; Hominidae.
UUUGCACAUACUUCCAGUAUAAGGUCUGUCUCCUGCUCCUGGUUUUGUACUUAGGAAUUCUGUGUCCCCUUCAGUUAGUACAGUCAUGUGCCACAGGGCACAUAAGGAACAGAGGCUACAGUGUAUUACCUAUGGGGAAUGUAAAAUUUCCUAGUAGACUCUGCCCUGAUUGCCGUUACAUUUCUAAAGGCCUUCUUUAUUGUCAGUUGGUCAAUCAGAUUCAGCCUUUUUAUCUCAAGUCCAUUUUCUGAGUGAACUACACCAGUUUCAUCUUACUGUAAUACUUUCUAAUGCUUUUAUUGUUAUUGUUUGUUUCCUAAAUCUUUAUGGACUUAAAAACUAGUUUGCCAGUGUUUGACAUCUCAGUUCUUAAAAGAAUAAAAGGGGGAAAUUAACAUUAAGUCAUUUUAAUUUUUAAAAAUUCAUAUUUUCUUACCAUUUUCUUUUCUUUUUUCAUUUGUUCCUUCUUUUACCUUUCUUCCUUCAUUCAUUCAUUUGUUCCUUCUUUCUUUCUUUUCUUUUUUCACAUAGAGAAGUACAUAAUGUAUUGUCCUAAAUGGAACUUGUGAUUUACUUAUGGCCCAGCUU